UUAAGAAUCACUUGUACAGGCCACACAUCCAGUAAUGUUCCCGUUGUCAUGCAAAGUUUUCUUUUUUCAUAAUCUUUUAUUUUAUCCUAGGAUUCACAUGAAUUGAAAAAGAAGGUAAAUUUUUUGAAGCAAGUUCUCGCAGUGAAUAAUGAGGUGAGAUUUCUUCCUGAAAUGCAGAAGCAUGCAAACAUGAUUAUCAUUGGAAAAAGCCCAAGUUUCAACCAGCGCGCGUACCUAACCGAGAUGCGCGCGCUUUGACGAAAUAAACGUGCACUACCAUGACAAUGAAAAAAGAUCAGAGAAGAAAAGAUGAUCGGGAUUCCAUACCGCAGGGAUCGAGUUGUUGAUCAAAGAGUAAAGUGAAUUGGGCUUUCCAAAAGUUUCUUUUUUCGAAUCCGGAAAAAUCAGGAAAGGUACCGUGUCACUGUCGUGAAUCUAAAAGUUUUGGAGAAGGAUAAACGAUUGUAAUUACGGUGAAAGAACAUUUGAGAUUGAGCAUACCUAUAGCUAAUUCUUACACUCAUCAAGUAAGCGGAAAAUUUUAUUUGUACUCUUUGUUGUUUUCAGGUAAACUAACCCAGUCCCGAUCAUCCUUCGAAAACGCGAAAACAUUAGACAUUCUUUUAGAACAGCUACCUUUCCUUAAUGAAAAAUUCUACAACCUUAAGAACUUUUUUGAUCUAGGAAAAACUGCUUUCUUCGGUGAUUGAAUUCAGUCGCUAGCCGCAAUGUUACACGUUGACUCUGCUGAACAGUGGGAGGUUUCUGCAGGGACUUCGGAGGAGUACUUACACCUCUUCCUUAGUAACAGAAGCGAUCUCUUUUGAGAAAAUAAGAAACAAAAGUGAAACAUUUAUUUGAUUAAAAGACAGGAAAAUAU
This is a long non-coding RNA of Stylophora pistillata, 880 nucleotides long. Lineage: Eukaryota; Metazoa; Cnidaria; Anthozoa; Scleractinia; Pocilloporidae. The record is from RefSeq and is a predicted model, not a curated record.